Molecule: ribosomal RNA, 253 nt
Filed under: uncultured bacterium
Lineage: Bacteria
Description: partial 16S ribosomal RNA
Rfam family: Bacterial small subunit ribosomal RNA
Source: RNAcentral
UACGGGGGGGGCAAGCGUUGUUCGGAAUUACUGGGCGUAAAGCGUGCGCAGGCGGUUUUGUAAGUCUGUCGUGAAAUCCCCGGGCUUAACCUGGGAAUGGCGAUGGAGACUGCAAGGCUAGAGUUUGGCAGAGGGGGGUAGAAUUCCACGUGUAGCAGUGAAAUGCGUAGAGAUGUGGAGGAACACCGAUGGCGAAGGCAGCCCCCUGGGUCAAAACUGACGCUCAUGCACGAAAGCGUGGGGAGCAAACAGG